Tupaia belangeri (northern tree shrew) is the source of this 324-nucleotide unclassified non-coding RNA. Its record names the gene 7SK. It matches the Rfam family "7SK RNA". From Rfam's summary of the family: 7SK was discovered as an abundant small nuclear RNA in the mid-70s but a possible function has only recently been suggested. Two independent studies have found that 7SK RNA binds the CDK9/cyclin T complex (known as elongation factor P-TEFb). P-TEFb activates transcription by phosphorylating the C-terminal domain of RNA polymerase II. NCBI's taxonomy places the organism in Eukaryota, Metazoa, Chordata, Mammalia, Scandentia, Tupaiidae. The record is from Ensembl.
GAAUGUGAAGGUGACUAGGCUGUGACAUCUGUGACCCCAGUGAUUACCAGGGUUGAGUCCCCAGCUCUGACUGGCUAAACAGUUGUUCCCUUUUUCCCUCCUAGGUGUCCCCAUCUAAAACAGAAACUACACACACCGUCAGAGGGCACCUCUCCCCUAUGUAGGAUGACUGUUCUUUCCUCAAAGAUAUGUAAGCAAAUGCCUUCCCCUGUUAGAAACUUCAAACACACUCACCAGAUCAGUUUAUAAGAGAAUGUUCAGUAGUGAAGCUUCCAAGACUCCAGACACACCCCAAUGAGGCACCAUGACAGUCUACCUUGUUUU